UGUAAAUAGUCCGGGUAGCCAUGCUGUUCAGCUGUCUUAUGGCUUGGAGGUAGAAGCUGUUCAGCUGUCUUAUGGCUUGGAGGUAGAAGCUGUUCAGCUGUCUUAUGGCUUGGAGGUAGAAGCUGUUCAGCUGUCUUAUGGCUUGGAGGUAGAAGCUGUUCAGCUGUCUUAUGGCUUGGAGGUAGAAGCUGUUCAGCUGUCUUAUGGCUUGGAGGUAGAAGCUGUUCAGCUGUCUUAUGGCUUGGAGGUAGAAGCUGUUCAGCUGUCUUAUGGCUUGGAGGUAGAAGCUGUUCAGCUGUCUUAUGGCUUGGAGGUAGAAGCUGUUCAGCUGUCUUAUGGCUUGGAGGUAGAAGCUGUUCAGCUGUCUUAUGGCUUGGAGGUAGAAGCUGUUCAGCUGUCUUAUGGCUUGGAGGUAGAAGCUGUUCAGCUGUCUUAUGGCUUGGAGGUAGAAGCUGUUCAGCUGUCUUAUGGCUUGGAGGUAGAAGCUGUUCAGCUGUCUUAUGGCUUGGAGGUAGAAGCUGUUCAGCUGUCUUAUGGCUUGGAGGUAGAAGCUGUUCAGCUGUCUUAUGGCUUGGAGGUAGAAGCUGUUCAGCUGUCUUAUGGCUUGGAGGUAGAAGCUGUUCAGCUGUCUUAUGGCUUGGAGGUAGAAGCUGUUCAGCUGUCUUAUGGCUUGGAGGUAGAAGCUGUUCAGCUGUCUUAUGGCUUGGAGGUAGAAGCUGUUCAGCUGUCUUAUGGCUUGGAGGUAGAAGCUGUUCAGCUGUCUUAUGGCUUGGAGGUAGAAGCUGUUCAGCUGUCUUAUGGCUUGGAGGUAGAAGCUGUUCAGCUGUCUUAUGGCUUGGAGGUAGAAGCU
This is a long non-coding RNA of Oncorhynchus keta (chum salmon), 850 nucleotides long. RefSeq lists it as uncharacterized. The record is from RefSeq and is a predicted model, not a curated record. NCBI's taxonomy places the organism in Eukaryota, Metazoa, Chordata, Actinopteri, Salmoniformes, Salmonidae. The transcript is spliced from 3 exons.